Molecule: long non-coding RNA, 4644 nt
Organism: Phyllostomus discolor (pale spear-nosed bat)
Lineage: Eukaryota; Metazoa; Chordata; Mammalia; Chiroptera; Phyllostomidae
Exons: 2
Source: RefSeq, a predicted model, not a curated record
AAUCUGUAUUUGAAUAAUUAUAUAUACAGUAUGUAAUUAUAUAUUUGUAUCAAACUGAGAUGUAGCUUUUGCUUAUAUGUAAAAUAUGUACUCUUUAGGUCUUCAAUUCUUUUCCCUUAGAAUAAUAGUUAUUUUGGGUUAAAUUACAAGAAAUCAAUUCUUUGAUGACAAAAAUAAUUUAAAGGAAGUGUGUCUUAAAUAUGAGUUAGUUGUUUUUUUGACUCAUGAGAUAAAUUAGUUUAAUUACACGUGGCAGUUUUCUUGGCUAGUGAUGUAAUGUGAAAUAAAAUUCUCCCUUUCCCCUCCCUGAAAACUGAAGCCAAUUAAUAGAACUUUUAAGCUCUUUGUCAUAGGCCACCAUGAAGGUCUGCCGAGAAGAACUUUAAUCCAAUAAACAUUUCAUUUAGAUCAUGAAAAGAAAGCAUGAGGAGAAGCUCCUGUAUGAGAGGGUGUUACUAUGAUUCCAACCAUGAAGAGAUGUGAGGAAUUUGCCAAAUUAACCAAGGGGUCCUCAUAUUUAAAGCAUAAAUGUGUCAAAACUAACAGAAUAAUUAUUUAAUUUGCUUGAACUCUAUAUUGAGAAAACUCUAAAAAGCCACAACUGUUUUCUUCAAAGCCUUCACUGUUGGGCUGGAUGGACAGGGCAAAGGGAGGUUGUGAGAAAUCCAGAUAGCAAAUAACACUGGCCGAAGCUGGUCAGAAAAGGGAAUAGAUAAUUAGACGUAAUUAGUGUGUAUGAAUUGUUGUCUCUCUGCCCUUAGCUUGAAUAAAUUUUGAAGAAAAAACCCGAGUGGUGAAAACCCUUUGAUGUAGGAAGAGUCAUUGUGGCUUGGCAGCAUAAAGGCAGUGUUUUAUAUGUCUUACAUAAUGGUUGUGGUACAGAAAGAGUGAAUGGACUGUGCACCCCCCUGUCUGCUUUACAGCAAGGACUUUUGGAUUCUCUUGAAACAAAAUGCAUCACAAGUUUUCAGUUGUUAGUAAUGAGGUAGCGGACCUCAUCAGUGCUCCGAGGAAGCCAUCUUUAGCUUUUGUUUAAAUCUUAAUCACAGUUUUUUUCUUUCUGGGAAAUCUGUUUUCCUAAAUUAACACUUCUUUUUCCUUUUUUGCUUGCACCUCCAAUAAGAGAAAGGAAUAAUGAUCACGAAGGCUAGAGAAGAGUUAAAGAAAAAUUAUCACAAAAAGACAUACAUUUUUGUGCUUCUAAACCAUGUGAAAAAGAUGCUUGCUAUAUUCCCUUUUGUCUCAGAUCAGUAACAUUCUGAAAAAGUGCCAAUGAACAGUGAAAUGACAAAAAGUUGAGCAAAUACAAUGAAGAAAGAGCAGAACCAGAGUUUACAAUAUUUAUAAACCCUCUUCUGGAUACUAAAAGUCUUAAUAAUGAAGUGUCUGGAACUAGAUGGUUUAUUUUUUAAGCUAAACAUUUUAUUGAGAUUUAGCUUUUUUUUUAAAUUCCAUAAGUUGUGAUUAUAGUGUAAAUGAAUCACAUACAUUGUACAUUUAUAGUGUGGUUUUAAUUUUUGAGACAAAAAGCUAUUGUUUACUUCUGAUUAUUUGUGUAGAAGAAGAAAAAAUCUUACGGAUAAAUUUGCCGGAUUUUGAAAAAAAUUGAGUUUGUAAAGCUGCAUAUAUGGCAGGAAGUUCCUGUCAGUCUGGAGAUGUAUCACACAGCCCCUCCUGUGGGAGCAGGGAAAGCUUGCAGGAGCUGCAGUUACGUGUUUGGCAGCAUGGCUAUAAAAAAGGUUCUUGAAAGGUACAUGUAUCAACUUCUUUUCAGUCUGUGAUAUAUUAUUAUUAUUAUUAUUAUGAUGUUUUUCUUUUUUAACCUCACGAAUGAGAGCUAUGGUUUUCUUGCAUGAAGUAAGUGGGAGAAGAAUAGAAUAUUAGUUUAAAUUCUGUUUGUUAUGACAGAACUGGAACUGUAUGAUAGCUGUGAUUUCAACAAGACAGCUAUAAGCUUUUUCAAAGUCCCACUAUUUGGAGAUAAUACAUGGAGUUCUCUGAGAUCUUUUCUUUUAUAAAAUUUCCUGAGAGAUAAAUGAAUUCAUAUUAGGUUAAAAAAACCCCAACCAUUACAUAAAUGAAUAUGUAAUGAAUAUCAAAAGCUUCCCCUUCACUAUUUUUUCUUUCCCCAUUUCUUCCUGCCCUCCAUUCCAAUCUCAUUUCUACUUCCCUCCUCAGGAGUAGCCACUGUUAAACAUUUAAUGUGGAGGAGUGACAUCAGCAUCAUGGCUGAAUAAGGUCUCUUGUUUGUGUUCCUCCACCACUCACAACAAUUUGGCAUCCACCCACAGACACAGGAGUCUUUGAAGGAGUUGUUGGAUCCAGCACCACACACCAGGAGGUCCAGGAGGAAGCUCUCCCACCCAUGUAUCAGUUAAUAUGCAUACAGACCUUGGUCCUGGUUGUGAACCCUGCAGUGGCCUAGGAACCAGCUCCAGCCUCUCUCAGCCACAGACUGGGAGCCUCUGAAAACACUAUCUUACAUUAUCAUCCAAGGAUGAGAGAGCUUUUGUGGAAAAGUUUCAGCACAUCAUUGGAGAAAAAAAAAUUAGAUGCAUUGGAGAGGGUAAGAGGAGCAGUUGGACUUUACCCAAAAAGUUUCAGCACACUAUUGGAGGAAAAGAAAACAAGUUUGGACUCAUCGGAGAGGGUAAGGCGAACAGUUGGACUUUACUCACAUUAGUCAUUCCACAAGGCACAGCUUAGGACCAAGAAAGAUUUUCUUGCCUUGUUACUUCUCCUGCAGGGCAAAGUAAAAGCAUGCGGAGUGAUCGCCUGGCUUUCCCAGCUGUGUGGGAUGCUUCUGAAGAUGCUCAUUUCUCUUUUGCCUCAUCCAGAGUACCAAAUUGUGAGCUGCAUGACUGGAGGGCAGAAAGAGUCUGGGAGAGAAGUAGAUAGGACUCUUGGAGGGCAAUAAAGGGAAGGAGAUCCUACUAACUGCUUAAUGGAUACCAUUAAGAAGCCUGCUCAUGAGCCACUGGGAACACCUUACCCACAGAUUCUCCCAAAGGGUAUCCUCAGCCUGAUGUGUGCCUCACACAUUCAUACUUUGCAGCUGGUGCCCUGUAUGUGUUCCUGAUGGUGAUGGCAAGAAUGAGCUUUGGCAGAUGGCUAGUGAGCAUGUUCUAGCCCAGGCAGAGAGCACAAACUUGAGCUUUAGUGCCACAGUGCCACUUUGGAAAAAAAUAAGGGAAGCUGUCAGCUCUUAGCCUGGUGUAUUGCAAGAACAAUAGAAAGCUUAGAAGCUUAAGAAUUCUGCCACAAGAGGGAGCAAGAAUUGUGGAGUAGGUGUAUCCGUAGAUGGCCUAAGAAGACCUCAGAAUUCUCAGAAUUCUCUGAAUUCUUAGCAGGCUGUUGGAAGGUACUUCUCUCCUGAAAAAAAAAAUUGUAAAGAUUAGAGGAGGUGACUGCUACUUAAAUGUGAAGAGAGCAAUGCAGAACUUUUAAGGAACGUGAACAAUCGAGGAAACAUGACAUCACGGAAGGGUCACUGUAAUCUUCCUGUAACUGACCCCCAAAGACAUAGAGAUCUGCAAUUUACCCUGUAAAGAAUUCAGAAUUGCUGUUUUAAAGAAAUUCAAUGACUAUAAGAAAAUACAAUUUAACAAAAUCAGGAAAAUAAUACACAAAAUAAAAAAUUUAAGAAAAAGCUAGAAAUUAUACAAAGGAAUUAAAUUCCAAAGCUGAAAAAUACAAUGCAUGAAAUGGAAAAGUAAUGCAAUAGAGCAUCAAUGUCAACCUUGAUCAAGAAGAAUCAGUGAGAUUGAAGACAGGAACUUUAAAAUUAUCCAUUCAGAGGAGAACUAAGAGAAAAAAAUGAGAGAGAGUGAAGAAAGCCUAUAUAAUCUAUGAGAUAUCAUCAAAAGAAAUAGUCUGUAAAUUAUUGGGGUUUCAGAAGGAGAAGAAAGAGAAAAGAGGAAGAACAUUUAUUUAAAGAAAUAGUGGCAGAGAACUCUCAAUCAGGGAAGAGAUUUGGAAUCUAAGUUCAUGAAGCUUAUAGGUCAUCAAAAAAUUAAAGAAUUCUUUUCAAGAUACAUUAUUAUAAAAUUGUCAAAAAAUCAAAGACAAGGAGAGAAUCUUAAAAGCAGCAAGAGAGAAGAAACUUGCAACUUACAAGGGAACCUCCAUAAGAUGAUCAGCAGAUUUCUCAGCAGAAACAGGCCAGGAGAAAGUGGGAUGAAUAUAUUCAAAGUGCUGAAAUUAAAAAAAAAAAAACAAAACUACCAAUCAAGAAUACUCUAUCCAGCAAAAUUAUCCUUCACAAAUAAAGUAUAGAUAAAACCUUUCCCAGACAAACAAAAGCUGAGGGAUAUUAUCAUCACUAGAUCUGCCUUACAAGAAAUGCUGAAAGAAAUCCUUUAAACUGAAAUAAAAGGGCAGUACUUAGUAACAUGGAAACAUAACACUAUACAAUAAACUGGUAAAGAUAACUACAUGCAGCUAUUCCUCAAUUUAUGAUGGCAUUACAUCCUUAUAAACACAUUGCAAGUUGAAAAAAUCAUUAAUUUGAAAAUGAAUUUAAUACACCUAACCUACCAAAUGUCAUAGCUUAGCUUACCUUAAACAUGCUUAGAACACUUACAUUAUUCUACAGUUGAGCAAUUAUUUUGCAUUUUAUCUCAAGAGUAAUUGCCUUUCUCUUUU